Long non-coding RNA from Mesocricetus auratus (golden hamster), 1587 nucleotides. RefSeq lists it as uncharacterized. The record is from RefSeq and is a predicted model, not a curated record. Lineage: Eukaryota; Metazoa; Chordata; Mammalia; Rodentia; Cricetidae. The transcript has 3 exons.
UCCGAGUGAGUUUAUAGCCUAAGUUAUGGUCUCUGAGACUCACCUGGUAGGAGGACUGACACCUGAAAGUUGUCCUCUGAUGCCACAGACACACUGUGGCGUGCACGCCAACAUGAAGUGCGCGAGUGCGCGCGCGCACACACACUCACACACACACACACUCAUAAGUGUUUUUAAAAAGAGAUUCUUUUCCCAUCCUCCACCUGCUCCACUUAUUCCUGCUCCUUUGCUUAGAGAACAAGCCCCUUAGUCUGAGAGUCCCUUUUGUGACCUUCCCUCUCUCUCCAGCUGGUCUCCCACAAUCUCUGUUCAAUUGCUCUGCUUCUGUAACAAAUUUGCCGUGUCUGGAACCCAAGUCUGUCUUUCACUGAAAGGAAACUUUUGUGGCUUUGCUGAGGCACUGAACACCUUCUGCCCAGAUAUCCUGUUUUGGUGUAUAUGACAAAGGGCUGUUGGGUCUGUGAGAGUCUUACAGUGCGAGAAGCUUAUGCCACACAAAGAUGUUAUCAUCUAGGCACACUUGGCCCCGCCCCUUGGGGGCCUGGCAGAAUGUGUCACCCCUGUGUGCAUAGCAAGCAACACCCUGACUCUGUACCAGGCAGGUGCAAAAGGUCCCUUUGAGAGACAAGUUCCCCGCACACCUGCUCUCUCUUUGCCUGCCUCUCUCUUCCUCUCUAUCUCCCUGUCUGUCUUUCUCUCUCCCCUCUCUCCCUUCCCUUUCCCCUACUCCCUUCCCCCAAUAAAACUUUCCCCCCAGAGAAGAGCCUCUUCCCACGGAAAAAGAACCGUUACAGGUUUUAACCCUCCUGGUCGAGCUGGUCCUCAGCACCAGAACUUUCACAGUUCUGGGGAAUGUGGGAGGCCAGCACCGUGUAUGAAAAUACCUGUCUUUUGCCUUCUUUUCAGUUCUAGAAGUACAGUUUCGCUAUUAAACAGCAGUUUCCAACCUCCAAGCUAGCAAAGAGAGGUGGCUAUCAGGGAAGUGACCAAGGGGGAUAUACCACCUUCUGUCUCUCUCUGGUCUCGCUUCCCCAGCUCCGCCUGUCCUCACCCGGAUAAAAGCAGCGGUUUCCAGCCCCACCCAGGAGCAGCAGCCACAGCCCCGCCCUCAGGCAUUCCAGAAAAACACAUCUCAGGCUCUGUAGGAGGAAAGCGGUGCUGCGCGUCAGGUGACUGUCACCACGCUGAAAACACAAACUCCUAAGCCAAUCAGGAGAGUGGAUGGGCAGCGCACAUUUCCUGCUUCUGAGUCAAGGAAAGCUGCCAGGAUGUGGGCCAUGCCACAAGACAACUCUCACCCAAAGGGAGGUUUGAUCCCCAGUAUCACAUAAACCAGGUGGUGCCGGGAGCAAUCCCAGCCCUCUGGAGGUAGAAGCAGAAGGGUCAGAAGUUCAAGGUAACCAACAGCUGCAUAGUGGAUUCAAGCUCAGGCUGAAAGGGCUGAUCCACACAUGAACUCUUCUCCAAGCCUCAAACGGCUGCCUCUCCUCAGCAUGGCUGGAGAAUGAAUGUUCCUAUCCUCAGCGUGGCUGGAGAAUGGAUGCUCCUACCCUCAGCGUGGCUGGAGAAUCAGUGCCUUCUGUUGAA